This 300-nucleotide long non-coding RNA is filed under the name Helianthus annuus (common sunflower). RNAcentral describes it as "sRNA HanXRQr2_Chr08g0330581". The record is from RNAcentral. Lineage: Eukaryota; Viridiplantae; Streptophyta; Magnoliopsida; Asterales; Asteraceae.
AUGAUAUUAAAUGAUAUUCCGGAUAAGUAUCACAAUAAAAUUGGAGAAAUAUUGGAAAUAGUUUUAGUUUCUCAUAUGUGAGGUAAUGGAGUUUUUUGCUUUGCAAAGUUUAUUUCAGGUAUCAAUAACUUAAAUUGAAGGCAAAGGUAACUUGAUGUAAGGAUAGUAGAAGCCAGCUAUGGAGCACUGAAGGCUUAAAUAAAGUGGCUAUAAUAAAGAAGAAAAUUAUGUUUUAUUUAUUUGGAUUUAUCCCUAUAAAAACAAUUGAAUGAAAUAUUGGUUUUAGCCCAUUUGUUUAAU